This 247-nucleotide ribosomal RNA is filed under the name uncultured bacterium. Its description in RNAcentral is "partial 16S ribosomal RNA". It matches the Rfam family "Bacterial small subunit ribosomal RNA", at positions 523 to 769 of the family's 1533-position model. The record is from RNAcentral.
AUACGGAGGAUCCGAGCGUUAUCCGGAUUUAUUGGGUUUAAAGGGUGCGUAGGCGGAUUGGAAAGUCAGCGGUGAAAGUUUGCAGCUUAACUGUAAAAUUGCCAUUGAAACUGUCAGUCUUGAGUGCAAAUGAGGUAGGCGGAAUGUGUUGUGUAGCGGUGAAAUGCAUAGAUAUGACACAGAACACCGAUUGCGAAGGCAGCUUGCUGGAAUGUAACUGACGCUGAGGCACGAAAGCGUGGGGAUC